RNAcentral lists this ribosomal RNA (120 nucleotides) under uncultured bacterium. RNAcentral's name for it is "partial 16S ribosomal RNA". It matches the Rfam family "Bacterial small subunit ribosomal RNA", at positions 32 to 149 of the family's 1533-position model. The record is from RNAcentral.
AAUCAACGCUGGCGGCGUGCCUAACACAUGCAAGUCGAACGCGAAAGCCCGCAAGGGUAAGUAGAGUGGCGCACGGGUGAGUAACACGUGGACAACCUGCCUUCGAGUGGGGAAUAACCU